This is a long non-coding RNA of Branchiostoma floridae (Florida lancelet), 1504 nucleotides long. RefSeq lists it as uncharacterized. The record is from RefSeq and is a predicted model, not a curated record. The transcript is spliced from 2 exons. NCBI's taxonomy places the organism in Eukaryota, Metazoa, Chordata, Leptocardii, Amphioxiformes, Branchiostomatidae.
CCUUGCACCUUAAGAGGGUAAAUGCACUCUUGCACCUUAAGAGGGUAAAUGUACCCUUGUGAAAUGCACUCUUGCACCUUAAGAGGGUAAAUGCACCCUUGUACACGCACUCUUGCAUGUACCCUUGUACACGCACUCUUGCACCUUAAGACAGUAAAUAGAGUAAAUGAACCUUUGUAAAAUGAAUGUAUUCUGUUAAGAUACCUUAAAUCUUAAGAGAGUAAAAGCACCAGAAAUUUAGCCCCCUUUUCUCUGCUUUCCAAUGGUCCUCUGGCUGUCCAAUGGUCCCUUCUGCUGUCGCUCCCAGCGGGGGCAGACAGGAGAGGUACCUAGAGCCACGGGGCGAUAGGAAGGGUGGUCCAGGCCUCGAGAUGGACAAGAGGGGCAGUUAGAGCAUUGAGACCAACAGGAGGGGCCAACGGAGCAGCGGGGACCGACAGGAAGGACAAAUGGAGCCACAGACCAGACAGGAGGGGAUAAUGGAUUCAUGAGGCAACAGCUUGGGCCAGGACAACCAGGAUAGGUGGAUACUAUAUGUUGCUGAUAAAUGCCAGUGCAGCUCCCAGACAAGAUAUGUACAAGUCAUUCAGUUAUACCCGGAGGACCUGAUCCUUGUGGUAUACAUUAAAUAGCAUAUAUAACACUAUAUAGAUGGUAUUCAGAGGGAGCACAUGUGUUGUCAAGUGGGGUAGUGACUCACUGCUGUUGAUUAUGAUGUACAUAUCUAGCAAAGAAACCCUGGUAGUGUAAGAAGUAUUUACCGUGGUUAUCAGUACUUGGUAGGCAUGGAUACAAUAAGUACAUAAGAUAUCAGUAGACUUAAGAUAUCAGCAGAUGUAAAAAAAGAGAGGGGAAAAGAAAGGGACAUGUAGGUCCUUGUGACAGAUGAAAAGGUACGUGAGUGCUACCUGAAAUGUCUGUUUCCAAAAUCUGUACUUGUAACAAUUUAUUGUGUAUGUAUUACUGUUGACAUAUCAAGACUGAAAUCAGCUGUGUAUUGACAAAUUAUCAAGAUCCUGUUAGCUUAUCAGAACUUUGUUUUGUUAUAGUUUCUUUUCAAAAAUUCACUUAAGUUUCUCAUGCAAACUGGGUCUUCAAGAAUGUCUUGUUAGCAAAUGCAUUUUUUGUGAUAAUGUGAGAUGCCAAGUAAUUGUACAAGAUUAAAUGUAGAAGUGGAGACAUUUUGUAAAAGAAGAGAUUGUGUCAUACUGGUAUAGCACAAAAAACAAUGCUUUUACGUGACAUGUAGUUUUUAUGCAUUACAUGGUGUUACACUUUUAUAAUGUACAUUGGACAUGCUGCCAAAGUGGAUGUACAUCUCAGAGACAUGAAAGAAGAAAGAGAGGAAAAUUGUAGUAGUGUAGCAAUGCAGUUUGUUUUUGCAUCAUGUUUUUGUUGUUUCAAGUAAAGAAACAUAAUUCUAUUUUGCACAACUAAAUAUCACUGUGUAUUAUUGUAUUCUGCCUUUUAUUGCCAAGGUAUUAAAAGCUAACAGUAUAACCAA